Molecule: ribosomal RNA, 253 nt
Filed under: uncultured bacterium
Lineage: Bacteria
Description: partial 16S ribosomal RNA
Rfam family: Bacterial small subunit ribosomal RNA
Source: RNAcentral
UACGUAGGGUGCGAGCGUUGUCCGGAAUUAUUGGGCGUAAAGAGCUUGUAGGCGGUUUGUCGCGUCUGCCGUGAAAGCCCAGGGCUUAACCCUGGGUCUGCGGUGGGUACGGGCAGACUAGAGUGUGGUAGGGGAGACUGGAAUUCCUGGUGUAGCGGUGAAAUGCGCAGAUAUCAGGAGGAACACCGAUGGCGAAGGCAGGUCUCUGGGCAUUAACUGACGCUGAGGAGCGAAAGCAUGGGGAGCGAACAGG